Molecule: ribosomal RNA, 500 nt
Filed under: Treponema sp. oral taxon 247
Lineage: Bacteria; Pseudomonadati; Spirochaetota; Spirochaetia; Treponematales; Treponemataceae
Description: bacterial SSU rRNA
Rfam family: Bacterial small subunit ribosomal RNA
Source: RNAcentral
AACGAACGCUGGCGGCGCGUCUUAAGCAUGCAAGUCGAACGGUAAGAGAGGAGCCUAGCUCUUCUCCUAGAGUGCGGACUGGUGAGUAACGCGUGGGUGACCUGCCCUAAAGAUGGGGAUAGCUAGUAGAAAUAUUAGAUAAUACCGAAUGUGCUCAUUUACAUAAAGGUAGAUGAGGAAAGGGAGCUACGGCUCCGCUUUAGGAUGGGCCCGCGUCCCAUUAGCUAGUUGGUGAGGUAACGGCCCACCAAGGCAACGAUGGGUAUCCGGCCUGAGAGGGUGAACGGACACAUUGGGACUGAGAUACGGCCCAAACUCCUACGGGAGGCAGCAGCUAAGAAUCUUCCGCAAUGGACGAAAGUCUGACGGAGCGACGCCGUGUGAAUGAAGAAGGCCGAAAGGUUGUAAAAUUCUUUUGCAGAUGAAGAAUAAGGAUAAGAGGGAAUGCUUGUCCGAUGACGGUAGUUAUGCGAAUAAGCCCGGGCUAAGUCGUAACAAGG